Molecule: ribosomal RNA, 370 nt
Filed under: uncultured bacterium
Lineage: Bacteria
Description: bacterial SSU rRNA
Rfam family: Bacterial small subunit ribosomal RNA
Source: RNAcentral
AACGAACGCUGGCGGCAUGCCUAACACAUGCAAGUCGAACGGGAUCCUAGCUUGCUAGGUGAGAGUGGCGGACGGGUGAGUAACACGUGGGAAUCUGCCUUUUGGUUCGGGAUAACCGCGGGAAACUGCGGCUAAUACCGAAUGCCCUCGAGAGAGGAAAGAUUUAUCGCCAGAAGAGGAGCCCGCGUCCGAUUAGGUAGUUGGUGGGGUAAAGGCCUACCAAGCCGACGAUCGGUAGCUGGUCUGAGAGGAUGAUCAGCCACACUGGGACUGAGAUACGGCCCAGACUCCUACGGGAGGCAGCAGUGGGGAAUAUUGGACAAUGGGGGCAACCCUGAUCCAGCAAUGCCGCGUGAGUGAAGAAGGCCUU